RNAcentral lists this ribosomal RNA (253 nucleotides) under uncultured bacterium. Its description in RNAcentral is "partial 16S ribosomal RNA". It matches the Rfam family "Bacterial small subunit ribosomal RNA", at positions 524 to 776 of the family's 1533-position model. The record is from RNAcentral.
UACGUAGGUGGCGAGCGUUGUCCGGAUUUAUUGGGCGUAAAGCGCGCGCAGGCGGUGCGGUAAGUCCGUCGUGAAAUCUCCCGGCUCAACUGGGAGGGUGCGGUGGAGACUGCCGGACUGGAGGCACUCAGAGGCCGGUGGAGUUCCCGGUGUAGUGGUGAAAUGCGUAGAGAUCGGGAGGAACACCAGUGGCGAAGGCGGCCGGCUGGGAGUGACCUGACGCUGAGGCGCGAAAGCGUGGGGAGCGAACCGG